RNAcentral lists this ribosomal RNA (538 nucleotides) under Paenibacillus sp. EKM101P. RNAcentral describes it as "partial 23S ribosomal RNA". It matches the Rfam family "Bacterial large subunit ribosomal RNA", at positions 889 to 1430 of the family's 2925-position model. The record is from RNAcentral. Lineage: Bacteria; Bacillati; Bacillota; Bacilli; Caryophanales; Paenibacillaceae. RNAcentral also lists the same sequence under 3 other names.
AAGAAUCGUGGAGGUAGAGCACUGAUUGGGUGCGGGGCCCGCAAGGGUUACCAAGCUCAGUCAAACUCCGAAUGCCAUAGAUUUAGUUCCGGGAGUCAGACAGUGAGUGCUAAGAUCCAUUGUCGAAAGGGAAACAGCCCAGACCAUCAGCUAAGGUCCCCAAGUGUGUGUUAAGUGGGAAAGGAUGUGGAGUUGCACAGACAACCAGGAUGUUGGCUUAGAAGCAGCCACCAUUGAAAGAGUGCGUAAUAGCUCACUGGUCGAGUGACUCUGCGCCGAAAAUGUAACGGGGCUAAACACACCACCGAAGCUAUGGCUUGAUGCUUGCAUCAGGGGUAGGGGAGCGUUGAAUGCGGGUUGAAGGUGUACCGGAAGGAGCGCUGGACUGCAUUCAAGUGAGAAUGCCGGUAUGAGUAACGAAAAGAUCUGUGAGAAUCAGAUCCGCCGAAAGCCUAAGGGUUCCUGAGGAAGGUUCGUCCGCUCAGGGUAAGUCGGGACCUAAGGCGAGGCCGAUAGGCGUAGUCGAAGGACAACAGGU